GUGUCUGUGUGUAUUAAGUGUGUCUGUGUGUAUUAAGUGUGUCUGUGUAUUAACAGUGUGUCUGUGUAUUAACAGUGUAUUGUCUGUGUGUAUUAACAGUGUAUUGUCUGUGUGUAUUAACAGUGUAUUGUCUGUGUGUAUUAACAGUGUAUUGUCUGUGUGUAUUAACAGUGUAUUGUCUGUGUGUAUUAACAGUGUAUUGUCUGUGUGUAUUAACAGUGUAUUGUCUGUGUGUAUUAACAGUGUAUUGUCUGUGUGUAUUAAUAGUGUAUUGUCUGUGUGUAUUAACAGUGUGUGUCUGUGUGUAUUAACAGUGUGUGUCUGUGUGUAUUAACAGUGUGUGUCUGUGUAUUAACAGUGUGUCUGUGUGUAUUAACAGUGUUGUGUCUGUGUGUAUUAACAGUGUAUUGUCUGUGUGUAUUAACAGUGUAUUGUCUGUGUGUAUUA
Molecule: long non-coding RNA, 447 nt
Filed under: Salmo salar (Atlantic salmon)
Lineage: Eukaryota; Metazoa; Chordata; Actinopteri; Salmoniformes; Salmonidae
Description: lncRNA (ENSSSAG00000082228.1)
Source: RNAcentral